This 98-nucleotide transfer RNA is filed under the name Lachnellula suecica. It matches the Rfam family "tRNA". From Rfam's summary of the family: Transfer RNA (tRNA) molecules are approximately 80 nucleotides in length. Their secondary structure includes four short double-helical elements and three loops (D, anti-codon, and T loops). Lineage: Eukaryota; Fungi; Ascomycota; Leotiomycetes; Helotiales; Lachnaceae. The record is from Rfam by way of RNAcentral.
GGGGCUGUAACUCAGUGGUAGAGUGCCUCGUUUGCAAAGUUGUUUCAUUACAACACAUUGAUUCGAUGAAGUCCGGCGUUCGAUCCGCCGCUGCUCCA